Molecule: ribosomal RNA, 412 nt
Filed under: uncultured bacterium
Lineage: Bacteria
Description: bacterial SSU rRNA
Rfam family: Bacterial small subunit ribosomal RNA
Source: RNAcentral
AGCGAACGCUGGCGGCAUGCUUAACACAUGCAAGUCGCACGGGCAGCAAUGUCAGUGGCGGACGGGUGAGUAACGCGUAGGUAUCUAUCCUUGGGUGGGGGACAACGGCUGGAAACGGCUGCUAAUACCGCAUGAUAACUGAGGUUUAAAGGCGCAAGUCGCCUGGGGAGGAGCCUGCGUACGAUUAGCUAGUUGGUGGGGUAAAGGCCUACCAAGGCAACGAUCGUAGCUGGUCUGAGAGGAUGAUCAGCCACAUUGGGACUGAGACACGGCCCAAACUCCUACGGGAGGCAGCAGUGGGGAAUAUUGGACAAUGGGCGAAAGCCUGAUCCAGCAAUGCCGCGUGUGUGAAGAAGGUCUUCGGAUUGUAAAGCACUUUCGACAGGGACGAUGAUGACGGUACCUGUAGAAG